UGGGAGAGUUGCGGAGGGGGAGCAGUGGGGUUUGAACCCGGGACCUCACUGUUCACACACAGGAGGUCGCACCGCUUGGUGUUCCCUUGGGGACUUUAAAAUUACCUUUUAAAUAUAUAUAUACGUUAAGGAUAACUAUGCAUUUAUUACCUAUGUGCCCACGAUGAGAUUUUUAAUCCAACAAAAGAAAUACUCCCUCCGUCCCAGUUGAAAUGUCUUGUUUCUUUUCGGCACAGAAAUUAAGAAAUGUGUAU
Molecule: long non-coding RNA, 254 nt
Filed under: Salvia miltiorrhiza (redroot sage)
Lineage: Eukaryota; Viridiplantae; Streptophyta; Magnoliopsida; Lamiales; Lamiaceae
Description: long non-coding RNA (SMIL_LNC011430)
Source: RNAcentral